GGGCCUAUGGUCUAGUGGUAUGACGCGGCAUUCGCAUUGCCGAAGCGCCAGUCCGAUUCUGGCUAGGUCCA
This 71-nucleotide transfer RNA is filed under the name Candidatus Magasanikiibacteriota bacterium. RNAcentral describes it as "tRNA-Ala". It matches the Rfam family "tRNA". From Rfam's summary of the family: Transfer RNA (tRNA) molecules are approximately 80 nucleotides in length. Lineage: Bacteria; Candidatus Magasanikiibacteriota. The record is from RNAcentral.